GAAAAUCUCGAUAAGGGUGUAUGGUGAAUGCCUUGACAUAAGAAGACGAUGAAGGACGUAGCAGCCUGCGAUAAGCUUCGGGGAGGUGGCAAGCAACCUUUGAACCGAAGAUCUCCGAAUGGGGAAACCUGUCCUAUUGAAGAUGGGACGAGCUGACGCAAGUCAGCUGGAAGACCCGGUGAACUGAAACAUCUUAGUAGCCGGAGGAAAAGAGAACAAUAGUUAUUCCCUUAGUAGUGGCGAGCGAAAAGGGAGAAGUCUAAACCUUUCAAACUGCAUAUAAUUUAUUUUACUUUUGUGAAAUGGUUAUAUUGAAGGCUCUGGGGCCAUAUGUUUGGGGGGGGUUGCAAGAUCGUAGUGCCUGUUUCCUAGAUAGACAGGGCCGAGUCAUAAAUAAUGAUUUUUAAUCAAAUCGAACUGGAAAGUUCAGCCAGAGCGGGUGAUAGCCCCGUAGAUGAAAAAAAUCUUUGCUCGGUAAUUACGGUUCUUAAGUAGGACGGGCCUCGUGAAAUCCCGUCUGAAGCCAGGUCGACCAUGACCUAAGACUAAAUACUUCUUAUGAUCG
Molecule: ribosomal RNA, 565 nt
Filed under: Candidatus Falkowbacteria bacterium CG23_combo_of_CG06-09_8_20_14_all_41_10
Lineage: Bacteria; Candidatus Falkowiibacteriota
Description: bacterial LSU rRNA
Rfam family: Bacterial large subunit ribosomal RNA
Source: RNAcentral